RNAcentral lists this long non-coding RNA (565 nucleotides) under Homo sapiens (human). RNAcentral describes it as "non-protein coding lnc-FICD-4:5". The record is from RNAcentral. Lineage: Eukaryota; Metazoa; Chordata; Mammalia; Primates; Hominidae.
ACUCCUAGUGGGGAGCCCAGGGUGGUCUGGGAGUGCUGCAUGCACCCAGCUGCUGUAUCACCAGGACAUCAGGAGGUGGAGAUGUUCGCUUGUGUGUUCUCCACUGCCCAAACCCAGGUGGUUAUUCUGCAACAGCUACAACUUGAGUAAGACCAAAACACAACUCAAGUGGACUUUCUAAAAAGAGAAUAAUUUAUUUUGGCUCCCAGACAUCAAAAUUCGCAAGGGAUUGCUUCAGUUUAUAGUCUACUGAGGUGAUUAAACAGCUGGAUUAAGAGUUUCCAUCCCGGAGUCAAACAGACUGAAAUCAAAUCCCCAUUUCACCUCUAACCAGCUGUGUGACCUUGGGCAAGUGACUUCCCUUCUCUGGGCUUCAGUGUACCUGCUUGUAAAAUAAAGGUGGCAUCCCUGAGUCCUGAUGCCUGACUGGAUGGAGGCCCACCAGCUUCUGUUCCCAUGAGGUAGAAAGGCCAAGCUUGGUCUUCAGCUGGGGAAGAGGCCAGAAACAAGGCCCCCAGUGAAAUAACCCAGAUCCAUUGGCCUGAGGAGCAGAGAAAGGGCAAGA